This is a long non-coding RNA of Notolabrus celidotus (New Zealand spotty), 366 nucleotides long. RefSeq lists it as uncharacterized. Lineage: Eukaryota; Metazoa; Chordata; Actinopteri; Labriformes; Labridae. The transcript has 3 exons. The record is from RefSeq and is a predicted model, not a curated record.
AGCCCUGCAGAACUCAUUUAAAUAUGCAAGGAAGGAGAUCCAGCAGCAAAAAUCUGUUGGGAUGAGUCAAGCUGCACAUCUGGAAAUAAAGGACAACACCAUCCAGAAGUUACAGGAAAAAUUACAAAACAAAAUGGAGGAAACUUAAAUGCUUGUCCAAGCAUUUGCUGAAGGAAUGGAUGCAGACUGGAUAGAUGACCAAGAAGGACAAGCAGGUCCAUCUUACAGUGCAAAUGACAAGCUCACUCACCAUGAGGCCACAUGAUCAGAUGCCAGCACCUUGCUGAUGAACCACUUCCCAGAUCGAAAUGUACAAAUACUGUUGUGUAUAAGCUGUUUCUUAAUUGUUGGUAAUAAAUGAUUCCU